UGCCGGUCGUUUGUGUGAGCUGCUUGAUCGUGUGGUUUUGUGUUUGCUUUAAUGAAAUGGGACGUAGUUAGCGUGCACAAAAGUGCCAGAAGAUACCUUGUGUUUCGUUGCAAACUCGCCGUAUGCGUGGCGCGCGAGGCAAACAUGGAGCAACGAUUUUUGUGCCGUGGCCUUUGUGUCGGGUUGUCGUGGAAAGUUGGGUGGACAUCGCAAAGAAAUCAUUCCUAUUGGUAGCGUGCCUCAGAUCGUCCACUACGCAGCGGCAUGUAUGCUGGGAGUAACAUCGUCGACGCAGCACCGGCAACUUGGAGAGCGUCGUGCCAUUGAAAAGUGGUGAGGCCGUGACCCACAGCAGUGUCCACAUGAUGGCAGGGAACCUGUGGCCCUGGCUACAGCAGCACAGCGUGUAAUCUGGAUGUCACGUCAGGUGAACGAUCUUAUCUGGCCUGAAGUCCUAUGGCGGCAAUGCAUGACUGCAUUGGGGAGGCUGAGGUUCAGGGCAAGAGCCUUUAUGGAAAGGGCAGUAACAGGCACAAGAAGGACCCAGUGAAGGAGGGAUUGGAUCCAGUUCAUCUGAAUGCUGUAAUUGGGCUGCGCAAGUGGACCCACACACACAGUGGCUAUACACGCACCUGGUCAUUCACAAACAUAUGCACACACUAGCAGGUCGUUCGGGAAUUUUGCCAUGCGCCAUUCCUCUUCCCGUUAAGGCACUCUGCACGUCUGACCACCAGGGGACACACUCUCGCUACCUUCGUGUGCACAGCCAUAAAUAAUGGCGCCACCAUGCAUCUGACAUUGCUUGAAGUUCAGCAUCUGUUCGUUCACGUUCCACCAAAUGAUAUAGAAAGUUACAUCCUCCAGCAAGUUCAGGACGACAAAUGUGCAGCUCAAAAGCAGCCUGUCCUCCAUGCUAAGCAGGGAGAUUAAGUAGCCUGGAAAGCAGGUGGUCCUGUAAAUACAGGGUGUUUUUUUUUAGCUGCACCAAAUUUUUAAAAUUAGAAAAAUAUAUACCUUGGUCACGUUAGCUUUACCAUUCGAGUGUACGGAUUGGCGGCCUCUAGAUACAGAGCAAUUUAGUCACUUAAGUGUGUAAUUAGUGAAGUUAAGCUAAUUAACUUUCUAAUUAUCAACUAUAGGUGGCUACAGCAAAUGAGUACUUUGGGGCCCGUCGUCGACACUACCUAUCCCAACGAUGAAAUUUUGAAUAGCGGAGUUCAUGUAGGAGCUACACGAGCAAUUAGUUCCCUUUGGCAAGCUUCUUGAAACCGAAUUAGGCCGCAAAAAGAGCGUCUGUGUCGUCGAUGUCACCGCCCCCCUGCCUUUCGUAACAUCUCCGAGGUAAGCGCCAGUCCGGCCCCGCAAGCAGCUUGCAUUAUUUCCUUGCUAUCUGCGGCGUUCGCAGUCGACGCUACAGACUGAUAUGAUGCCGUGCCUGCAGUAUCUAAAAGCCCAAUUUAAGGAGCAGGGUUGGCGCUACAGCGCAACAUGAUGCCCAACAGAAUGACGAAGUAAAUUUGGUUGCCCACCGUCAUUGAAGCGCUGGGCCACCGCUGCAGACAGACAGUAAAUAAUGCAAGCUGCUCGUUGAGCUGGACCGGCGGAGAAGUGACGAAAGGGGGGAAGGGCGACGACACAGACGCUCUUUUUGCGGCCAGUUUCGGUUUCAAGGAGCCUGCCAAGGGGAACUAAUUGUUCGCGUAGCUCCCACAUGAACUCCGCUAUUCAAAAUUUGACUGUUGGGAUAGGUAGUACUCAUUUGUACUCAGUACUCAUUUGCUGUAGCUACCUAUUGUUGAUAAUUAGAAAAUUAAUUUGUGUAACUUCGGUAAUUAUGCAUGUAAGUGCUGAAAUUGCUAUGUAUCUAGAGGCUGCCAAUCCGUACACUUGAAUGGUAAAGAUAACGUGACCAAGAUUCACAUCUUUCUAAUUUCAAAAAUUUGGUCCAACUAAAAAAAACACCCCGUAUGUGCUAUCUAGUCAUGUUUGCGAUUUCUAUGUCAGCACAUUCUUAAAUAAAUAUAAACCAACUCAACUAUAUAUACAUCUGCUCAUUUAUUACCCUGUUUAAUUUAUAGCUGGCUCAACAAUGCAGCAUUUGUAUCCAAAUGCCUGCAUUGCUAGGCAUCCAAGAUUGAUGGGCAUGGGUAGACUUGCAUAUAUAGAACGAUGGAUAGCCACUCAUUGCCAGAAAUGGUCUGCUGGAGUUUACAUUACAACUCUUUGUAGUGACCAUACUUUCAUGUUGAUAAUUUGUGCCAUGCAAAUUGAGGAAUGUUAAUGUAGUACAUAGAAAGCCAAGUGUGCAGGCAUUCAGAAGGGUUACUAAUGCACUGUGUUAGAAUAGCAAUGAACCAAAAAAAGAUAUCUAUUGACCUGUGUACUGCAAACAUUCGCUUGCAUGACCAGCAAUAGAGAUAUCU
Dermacentor silvarum is the source of this 2423-nucleotide long non-coding RNA. RefSeq lists it as uncharacterized. NCBI's taxonomy places the organism in Eukaryota, Metazoa, Arthropoda, Arachnida, Ixodida, Ixodidae. The record is from RefSeq and is a predicted model, not a curated record. The transcript is spliced from 5 exons.